CAGAAGUCAUGUCUGCUGUGUGUCUUGGGAUGGAGCUGCCGGGGACAUGGCCCCUCCCACCACAAGUGGCCAAGGGCAUGUUGUGGUCGGGAAGCUUCACCGGUCAACCCCGGCCACCUCACCUCUGCCUGCCACUCGGGGUCCUGGGCCCUGCUGCCCCCCUGAAUGCAGCUGCAGCGCCUCUUUUGCCUAAAGCAGCAGGCCCUGCCGACAGGGACCUGAGCAUCUUUUUCUUCCUUCCUUGGCCUCUGAGGUCCUAAGAGGGAACUCUCCCUCUUAGGACCACAACUCUCCCACCACAGUCAGCGGUCACAGGGGGGUCUCUGGGCCCACGACAGGGCCGGCCUGGUGGCUGAGACCCUGGUGGCUCCUGGCCACGCUCAGGAAGGCCCGUGUGGUCAGGGCUGCAUUUGAGCUAGCUCCGCACUGGGGGUCUGCCGAGGGCUGGGUGCUGAUGUGCCCCCCGCGCCCCCCGUCGAUGUCUCUUGCCAGGCGCGACUCUUCGAUGAACCACAGCUGGCCAGCCUGUGCCUGGAGAACAUCGACAAAAACACGGCAGACGCCAUCACCGCUGAGGGCUUCACCGACAUUGACCUGGACACGCUGGUGGCUGUCCUGGAGCGCGACACACUGGGCAUCCGUGAGGUGCGGCUGUUCAAUGCCGUUGUCCGCUGGUCCGAGGCCGAGUGUCAGCGGCAGCAGCUGCAGGUGACGCCAGAGAACAGGCGGAAGGUUCUGGGCAAGGCCCUGGGCCUCAUUCGCUUCCCACUCAUGACCAUCGAGGAGUUCGCUGCAGGCCCCGCACAGUCGGGCAUCCUGGUGGACCGCGAGGUGGUCAGCCUCUUCCUGCACUUCACCGUCAACCCCAAGCCACGAGUGGAGUUCAUUGACCGGCCCCGCUGCUGCCUGCGUGGGAAGGAGUGCAGCAUCAACCGCUUCCAGCAGGUGGAGAGUCGCUGGGGCUACAGCGGGACCAGUGACCGCAUUAGGUUCUCAGUCAACAAGCGCAUCUUCGUGGUGGGAUUUGGGCUGUAUGGAUCCAUCCACGGGCCCACCGACUACCAAGUGAACAUCCAGAUUAUCCACACCGAUAGCAACACCGUCCUGGGCCAGAAUGACACGGGCUUCAGCUGCGACGGCUCAGCCAGCACCUUCCGCGUCAUGUUCAAAGAGCCGGUGGAGGUGCUGCCCAACGUCAACUACACGGCCUGCGCCACGCUCAAGGGCCCAGACUCCCACUACGGCACCAAAGGCCUGCGCAAGGUGACACACGAGUCACCCACCACGGGCGCCAAGACCUGCUUCACCUUUUGCUACGCGGCUGGGAACAACAAUGGCACAUCCGUGGAGGACGGCCAGAUCCCCGAGGUCAUUUUCUAUACCUAGGCUGCCUGACACCGACACCGCCCUCCCUCUGUGGGGAAGGCUGGGGCCCCGAGGUCAUAUUCUACACCUGGGUCACCCGACACCGCCCUCCCUCCGUGGGGACAGCCGCAGCCCCAGGCCAUCAUCCGCUGCUGGGGCCCCCCCCCGGCCACGCGGUGCCAGGCCCAGUGUCCCCCCCGGGCCAUCUGUCCACUCCACGCCACCUUUGUCAGCAUCAGGAAGGGGUUGCCCUGUGUUCACGAGCGCGGCUGCUGGAUCAGGGCAGCCGGGGAGGUGGCCGGGCCAGUGGCCAGGCCCUGUGGAGACAAUCCCUCAGGACUGGGGACAGGGCUGUGCCGGCCUGGGCCAGGGCCCACGGACCCGCAGCUCAGGGCACCUGCCACGUCAUCUGACGGCGGUGUGCGUUCCCCGCGUCUCUUCACUGCACAUUGCAAUGCAUUUGCGAUUCCCACAUCUCUGCUAGGAGCCAGCCUGGGUGGCGCCGCUCCCAGAGCCGUGGUUACCAGACCUUGCGUUCCUUUUGUUCCUGUCCAUUUAUCGGGACACGGGCCCCACCUGUCACGUGCCCGAGGCCACCCAAGCCCAGCCUGCGGGGCGUUCCCACUGCCUGGGUGCCGGCUUGAGUUCUGCGUGUGUGGGAUUCAGUGUGGGGACGGCCCCUGCCGGAUAGGCCUUGCCCUGGCCCAGGUGGUGAGCGGUUUGCAGUGUCUGUUCUCAUCCACCUGAUGGGCCCAGAUAAGGGCCCCCACUGUCCAGCCUCCCUGGACGGCCCCCGCGGUCCCUGCAGCCCAAGAUGGGACUCAGACCCUGCGCCCCAGAGCUCCCCUGCCGCAGAAUGGGGCCCCAGCCGGCCCCGACCGGGUCCAGGAGCAGUGCUUGCCUGUACAUACUGUUGCCCUAGCCCGCCUGGUGCCGCGGGAGCCACCCCCAGGUGCUGGGGGGCAUAGCCCCUCCCCACCCCGGCCACGCCCCCACCUGCCCUGCGUGUUUCUGCCUUGUGACUCCUGGAAACUGCGUCCUCCCCAAAGCCAUGGGAGGGGUGUCCUCCUCAGACCACGCCCCUAGAUGAUUUUUUUUAAAUAAACAAACAAACGCACCUGCCCUGAGCGCA
RNAcentral lists this small RNA (2497 nucleotides) under Pongo abelii (Sumatran orangutan). Its description in RNAcentral is "retained intron". Lineage: Eukaryota; Metazoa; Chordata; Mammalia; Primates; Hominidae. The record is from RNAcentral.